CCGGCUGCCGAGGAGCCGGAGGAGGAGGACGAGGAAGACGAGGAGGACGAGGAGGAUGAGGAUGAGGAGGGCAUGGUGACUUUCAGCAUGCCGGGACGCCUGCCGGGGGCUAUCCCCUCCUCUGCGCCGGCUGCGGAGCGCGGAGCGAUUUGAAAGGCGGGAAAAAGCAACCCAAAGUCCUGAUUUGCAAAUGAAGUUCCAUCCAAUCCAGUUUGACAGAAAUGGCAAACUUCUUUUGGGAUGAACUUUUUGCCUGGAGCACCUAUGGUUACAGGGCUGAGAUCAGAACCAGAGCAGCAUCUCCUGGGAGAAGAAAUGGUGAUGGAUUAAAAAAAAUCACACGCACCACACACUCGUGAAUCAGCAUACUUAGAAGACCAUGUAUUCCACAUGAUAUUUUUGUUUAGUUAAAUGCCUCACAUAUUCUGUAAGCUAAAUGGCAUGUAUAUUUCUGUUGUGGUGGGUUUUUGUAAAAAUUGUGUUAGUAAGAUUAUGUUUAACCAUGUAUGUGCAAUCAGAUUUGCAUCUCAGAUGAUCUAGGUAUUGUUACCAUGAGCCUUUAGGUAUUCCUUGCUAAAAGACACUAAGGGUUUUUGUUGUGGUGUGGGUUUUUUUUGGUUUUUGUUUUUUUUUUUUAACUGGACUAUCUGUGUGAAAGGCAUUUACUUUCCUUAAAACUGACUCAAAGUGAGCUGCAUUGCACCAUCCUACCAACGUAGUACUUGAAAAUUGACUGGACCUUAUUCUUCAGAAGAUCCAUUUCCUUCAAAAAUUGAAAGAACAAUGUCCAAAUAUAUCCAUACGGAAUUAAAGAAAGUCUUCAGGUUGCACAAUGCAUCCAAUCAACAUAGAAAUGCCUCUCAGUCUCCAGGAAACUAAAGGCAGCAUUUCACUUCCACAGUGGUCCACUCAGAUCUGGGUGAAGGUUUACAUUGUCAUUAUUGGACAUGAAACUAAAACACUAAUAAAGCUUAAUUUUUAUAUUUGUGGCACA
This is a long non-coding RNA of Myiozetetes cayanensis, 994 nucleotides long. RefSeq lists it as uncharacterized. NCBI's taxonomy places the organism in Eukaryota, Metazoa, Chordata, Aves, Passeriformes, Tyrannidae. The record is from RefSeq and is a predicted model, not a curated record. The transcript has 2 exons.